UGGGGAAUAUUGCACAAUGGGCGCAAGCCUGAUGCAGCCAUGCUGCGUGUAUGAAUAAGGCCUUCGGGCUGUAAAGUACUUUCAGCGGGGAGGAAGGGAGUAAAGUUAAUACCUUUGCUCAUUGACGUUACCCGCAGAAGAAGCACCGGCUAACUCCGUGCCAGCAGCCGCGGUAAUACGGAGGGUGCAAGCGUUAAUCGGAAUUACUGGGCGUAAAGCGCACGCAGGCGGUUUGUUAAGUCAGAUGUGAAAUCCUCGGGCUCAACCUGGGAACUGCAUCUGAUACUGGCAAGCUUGAGUCUCGUAGAGGGGGGUAGAAUUCCAGGUGUAGCGGUGAAAUGCGUAGAGAUCUGGAGGAAUACCGGUGGCGAAGGCGGCCCCCUGGACGAAGACUGACGCUCAGGUGCGAAAGCGUGGGGAGCAAACAGG
RNAcentral lists this ribosomal RNA (429 nucleotides) under Chloroflexota bacterium. RNAcentral's name for it is "Chloroflexi bacterium partial 16S ribosomal RNA". It matches the Rfam family "Bacterial small subunit ribosomal RNA", at positions 355 to 776 of the family's 1533-position model. Lineage: Bacteria; Bacillati; Chloroflexota. The record is from RNAcentral.